Long non-coding RNA from Gasterosteus aculeatus aculeatus (three-spined stickleback), 552 nucleotides. The record is from Ensembl. NCBI's taxonomy places the organism in Eukaryota, Metazoa, Chordata, Actinopteri, Perciformes, Gasterosteidae.
AGCAUGCAGCAGAAAUGUUGUUGGGUGUCUCAGCGUUACGCUUCAUUAACUGGAAUCCGCAUGCAUGUCAAGCGAAAGUUGCAGAUGACAUUGGUGCCCAUCAGCUGAAGCGCUUGGUGGAGUUGCUGACGUCCAAGGAGUGCGAGGACCUUCUGUCCGUCCUCUCCCGCCCCGAGGAAAACAUCUUUCAGCGCGUUGAGCGUCUCUCCCCGGAAACGAAUCAGCUAGAACCUCGAGCCUCGAAACCGCGAGCCAAGAGAGAAGCCUCAACCGCUGCAGGCGAUGAGGCUCGGUGCCGCGCGGGCCUGACGGACUGGAUGCUCAGGCACGGCGAGCAGACCUACUAUGACAGGCUCGCUCGCGCCUUGCAGCACAUCGGCAGAACUGAUGUGGCCGUUGAAGUGGGGAAGAACAUCAACCAGGACAAAGUCCUGAAGAUUAAACGCUACGUUGAAGAUUACCACGAAUAUGUGAAGUCUUUAAACAUCCCGCUGGAACAACCAGCCUCAGAUGACCGACAGCAUGACGCCCACACGGUCAGAAAAAGAAGAG